AUCCAACUGACGAAUCCCAAAUGGGACGAAACGCGCGUUUUGGAU
Molecule: non-coding RNA, 45 nt
Filed under: Schistosoma margrebowiei
Lineage: Eukaryota; Metazoa; Platyhelminthes; Trematoda; Strigeidida; Schistosomatidae
Source: RNAcentral